This 250-nucleotide ribosomal RNA is filed under the name uncultured prokaryote. Its description in RNAcentral is "partial 16S ribosomal RNA". It matches the Rfam family "Bacterial small subunit ribosomal RNA", at positions 524 to 774 of the family's 1533-position model. The record is from RNAcentral.
UACGUAGGGGGCGAGCGUUAUCCGGAUUUAUUGGGCGUAAAGCGUGCGCAGGCGGUUUAUUAAGUUUAAGAUAAAAGCCCGGGGCUUAACUCCGGUUCGUCUUAAAAACUGGUAGACUUGAGUGUGGUAGAGGUAAAUGGAAUUUCUAGUGUAGCGGUGAAAUGCGUAGAUAUUAGAAGGAACACCGGUGGCGAAAGCGAUUUACUGGGCCACUACUGACGCUGAGGCACGAAAGCGUGGGUAGCAAAUA